This 497-nucleotide ribosomal RNA is filed under the name uncultured bacterium. RNAcentral describes it as "partial 16S ribosomal RNA". It matches the Rfam family "Bacterial small subunit ribosomal RNA", at positions 28 to 507 of the family's 1533-position model. The record is from RNAcentral.
GAUGAACGCUGGCGGCGUGCCUAAUACAUGCAAGUCGAGCGAACAGACGAGGAGCUUGCUCCUUCGACGUUAGCGGCGGACGGGUGAGUAACACGUAGGUAACCUACCUAUAAGACUGGGAUAACUUCGGGAAACCGGAGCUAAUACCGGAUAAUAUUUCGAACCGCAUGGUUCGAUAGUGAAAGAUGGCUUUGCUAUCACUUAUAGAUGGACCUGCGCCGUAUUAGCUAGUUGGUAAGGUAACGGCUUUCCAAGGCAACGAUACGUAGCCGACCUGAGAGGGUGAUCGGCCACACUGGAACUGAGACACGGUCCAGACUCCUACGGGAGGCAGCAGUAGGGAAUCUUCCGCAAUGGGCGAAAGCCUGACGGAGCAACGCCGCGUGAGUGAUGAAGGUCUUCGGAUCGUAAAACUCUGUUAUUAGGGAAGAACAAACGUGUAAGUAACUGUGCACGUCUUGACGGUACCUAAUCAGAAAGCCACGGCUAACUACGUG